GAUGAUGAACGUAGCGAAACGCGAUAUGUAAUGUGAAUUGCAGAAUUCAGUGAAUCAUCGAGUCUUUGAACGCACAUUGCGCCCCCUGGUAUUCCGGGGGGCAUGCCUGUCCGAGCGUCAUUGCUGCCCUCAAGCACGGCUUGUGUGUUGGGCCUCCGUCCUCCUCCCGGGGGACGGGCCCGAAAGGCAGCGGCGGCACCGCGUCCGGUCCUCGAGCGUAUGGGGCUUCGUCACCCGCUCUUGUAGGCCCGGCCGGCGCUUGCCGACACAUCAAUCUUUUUUCCAGGUUGACCUCGGAUCAGGUAGGGAUACCCGCUGAACUUAAGCAUAUCAAUAAGCGGAGGA
RNAcentral lists this unclassified non-coding RNA (345 nucleotides) under soil metagenome. Its description in RNAcentral is "partial contains 5.8S ribosomal RNA, internal transcribed spacer 2, and large subunit ribosomal RNA". The stretch from base 1 to 120 matches the Rfam family "5.8S ribosomal RNA", at positions 35 to 154 of the family's 154-position model. The record is from RNAcentral.